CCUACGGGAGGCAGCAGUGGGGAAUAUUGGACAAUGGGGGGAACCCUGAUCCAGCCAUGCCGCGUGUGUGAAGAAGGCCCUCGGGUUGUAAAGCACUUUCAGUGAGGAAGAACGCCUGGUGGUUAAUACCCAUCAGGAAAGACAUCACUCACAGAAGAAGCACCGGCUAACUCCGUGCCAGCAGCCGCGGUAAUACGGAGGGUGCGAGCGUUAAUCGGAAUUACUGGGCGUAAAGCGCGCGUAGGUGGCUUGAUAAGCCGGUUGUGAAAGCCCCGGGCUCAACCUGGGAACGGCAUCCGGACCUGUCAAGCUAGAGUGCAGGAGAGGAAGGUAGAAUUCCCGGUGUAGCGGUGAAAUGCGUAGAGAUCGGGAGGAAUACCAGUGGCGAAGGCGGCCUUCUGGACUGACACUGACACUGAGGUGCGAAAGCGUGGGUAGAAAACAGGAUUAGAUACCCCGGUAGUC
RNAcentral lists this ribosomal RNA (465 nucleotides) under Vreelandella stevensii. Its description in RNAcentral is "partial 16S ribosomal RNA". It matches the Rfam family "Bacterial small subunit ribosomal RNA", at positions 338 to 795 of the family's 1533-position model. The record is from RNAcentral. Lineage: Bacteria; Pseudomonadati; Pseudomonadota; Gammaproteobacteria; Oceanospirillales; Halomonadaceae.